CGGAGAGCAGGAGCUGCGUCCCAGGUCCUAGCAGCAGGGAGCUGCUUGGGGAGGGGGUGCAGGAGGAGGGGGCCAUGCCCGCUCCCCAAGAGCAUAGGGCUAACAGUUAUUUGCAUUUCUGUGCUCAGGAGCCACAGAUGUCAACACAAGGCACACAAGCCUCUAUUAGUCACUCUGGUUCACGGACGAUAGAUCCCAGGGUUGGCCAGAAGUACAGACACAUAAAAUCCUGCCUCGUGUUCCCCAGGUUGGUUCUCCCUGAGCGGGCUAAGCUUGGUACCUGACUGGGCUUUGGGGAGCCCCCAGCCCCCACGUCCUAGGGAUCUCUCAGCAGCGCUCCCAUGGCGGCACAUGUAGCUGUCAUUGGGCAGAGAGUGUGUCCGGCUGACACCAGACUUCCUCACAGUCAACAGGAUCCACUGCUUCCGACCAGCCACACCCUCUGGAGAUCCUCCUAGCCUUUGACCAAGACCCUGCCUCGGCUGGCCUGGGGCUGGCCUGGAUCUCACAACAGAAGGAACUGACCGACGAGAGGAGGGGGCUGCUCACUGUCAGAGGGGCAGAGGGAAACCGAGGGAGGGUAGUAAGGUCAAAGUAGCAAGAAGCCCCCAGACUUGUUGAGGACAGGAGACAAGGACACACAGGGACAGGAGACAGGGACAGUUCCCAGGGGGAAAAGGGCAUGGUGGUGGCAGCAGAGGUGUGGGUUUCACCCAGGAAACCAGUGAGUCUCAUGAGGGAGAGGCAGGAAGAGCAGGGCAGGGAAGGAGGGUUGGCUGGUACAGGGCUCCAAAGACAGAACCUGGCUCCCAAGCCACUUCUGUUUUGGGCUGUCGUUCCUGGAAUAACCCUGUCACCCGUGUAGCCCUGUGGGCUGGGUCUCAGUUUCAUCUUAUCUAAUUCCUUUAUUCCCCCCUGGUUGGUGGAGGGGAGGGACACAAGGAAGAAUUCAUGCCAGCAAAGGCUGGGGCACGUUGUGCCCACAUUUGAAUGCCUCUGGGUAGGACCUGGGCACAGAGUGGGAGGGAGUUCUGGAGCCCUGCAGCCAGCCUAGCCCAGGCUGGGGGAGCAGCAAGGGGUGUGUACAUGUACA
This is a long non-coding RNA of Meriones unguiculatus (Mongolian gerbil), 1093 nucleotides long. RefSeq lists it as uncharacterized. The record is from RefSeq and is a predicted model, not a curated record. The transcript is spliced from 3 exons. NCBI's taxonomy places the organism in Eukaryota, Metazoa, Chordata, Mammalia, Rodentia, Muridae.